GACGAACGCUGGCGGCGUGCUUAACACAUGCAAGUCGAACGGAAAGGCCCUGCUUUUGUGGGGUGCUCGAGUGGCGAACGGGUGAGUAACACGUGAGUAACCUGCUCUUGACUUUGGGAUAACUUCAGGAAACUGGGGCUAAUACCGGAUAGGAGCUCCUGCUGCAUGGUGGGGGUUGGAAAGUUUCGGCGGUUGGGGAUGGACUCGCGGCUUAUCAGCUUGUUGGUGGGGUAGUGGCUUACCAAGGCUUUGACGGGUAGCCGGCCUGAGAGGGUGACCGGCCACAUUGGGACUGAGAUACGGCCCAGACUCCUACGGGAGGCAGCAGUGGGAAAUAUUGCACAAUGGGCGGAAGCCUGAUGCAGCAACGCCGCGUGCGGGAUGACGGCCUUCGGGUUGUAAACCGCUUUCGCCUGUGACGAAGCGUGAGUGACGGUAAUGGGUAAAGAAGCACCGGCUAACUACGUG
Molecule: ribosomal RNA, 468 nt
Filed under: uncultured bacterium
Lineage: Bacteria
Description: partial 16S ribosomal RNA
Rfam family: Bacterial small subunit ribosomal RNA
Source: RNAcentral